This is a long non-coding RNA of Papaver somniferum (opium poppy), 3312 nucleotides long. RefSeq lists it as uncharacterized. NCBI's taxonomy places the organism in Eukaryota, Viridiplantae, Streptophyta, Magnoliopsida, Ranunculales, Papaveraceae. The record is from RefSeq and is a predicted model, not a curated record. The transcript has 11 exons.
GAAGAAUAAAACCCUAAAAAAUAUUCUUACUCCAUUUUUUCCCUCUCUCCGUGUUGUAGAGAUGCAGAAAGAGGUUUUCAUCUUCCACAUCUCCAAUUCAACUAUUCUAACCUAAACCUUCUUAUUAUCUCACAUCUUUGAUCUUCAGGGAAACGAUUGUAUCUUUGUACCUCAAAAACUAAACCUAACUCAGAUACCAUCGUAUCGUGUUCUCCUCCAACCCUAAAAACCAUUCUUCUCUGCCGCUCUCCAUCUCUCGCCUCUUUUCUUCUCUGUUCUCCUUCGUCUUUUGAUUUCUCUAACAGGAACGAAGAAGUAAGGCACAUCAGGUUCUUCAAUUGUUGAUUUAGGUGUUGACAAGCCUGCCAGGUGAAGCAUACCAAAAAGGUAGACACAGCUGCUCCCUAACGAGACUACUUAAGAUUUCAGAACUUCAGGCUAGAUAUGAUACUUUUGGAGAGGUGGGAAAAGCAUCGGUGUGAACAAAGAGAGCUGGCAGGAAAUGAUCUAUUCUGAUAUAAGUGGGUAUCGAAAGCAGAUAUGAGACUCUUGAUGGAGGAAUUGUCAGAGAGGAAGAUUUACUCUCUGAUAAAUGCUAUUGCAUUCUACUCUAUUCAGGUAUAUCCACAAUCAUUCAGAUAAAGGAAAAAGAAAAUUACCAUGAAUUUGCGCAUUGAUCUUCAAUUGCCUCUGCUCCCAUUCAUCGAGGUUCGCACAUUCUCUCAUUAUACUCUUUGCUUUCAUUUUUUUAAGGUCAGAAAAUUUGAGAUUAGUUAAACACUGGGUCUUAUAAUUGAUCGAAAUUUGAUUGAAUUGGUCCCUAUGAGAUUAGUUAAACACUACGUCUGAAUUCUAUUAUUUUUAUUAGCUAAUUGAUCGAAAUUUGAUUGAAUUGGUCCAUAUGAUUUCCUUAUCAGAUGAACCAACAAUACUAUUGAUUUUCAAAAGAUUAUUAAUUAGGGUUUACUGUUGAUUUCCCCUAAUUUGAUUGAAUUUUUGUGAAUUAGAUUUAAAUUGGUAAAGUCUUUUUAAUUUUUGAUUAUAUUUUUGAUUGAAUAAAAAAGGUUCCCACAGUUGGGACAUCAUUUGAUAGGAAAUUCUUAGAUGGUUUUUCAGCAGAGGCUGGGAAGCAUGGUGAAUCAUUUUUAUACCCGUUCCCUUUUAGUACCAUAGCAAAGAAUUUUCGGGAGAUAUGAUACUUUUGGAGAGGUGGGAAAAGCAUCGGUGUGAACAAAGAGAGCUGGCAGGAAAUGAUCUAUUCUGAUAUAGGUGGGCAUCGAAAGCAGAUAUGAGACUCUUGAUGGAGGAAUUGUCAGAGAGGACGAUUUACUAUCUGAUAAAUGCGAUUGCAUUCUACUCUAUUCAGGUAUAUCCACAAUCAUUCAGAUAAAGGGAAAAAAAUACCAUGAAUUUGCGCAUUGAUCUUCAAUUGCCUAUGCUCCCAUUCAUCGAGGUAGCACUGGCAUCAGGUCAAAGACAUUUCCUUGGAGCUGUGAGGAAAUCUUAGCUAGAACUAAACCUACCGAAUGGUCGAUGUGUUGAGGCAUAUGAAGUUCCACUGUCAACAGUCUACGUUCACAUUACUACACAAGCUCAAGUUAGAGUAGGCAAAUUGUUAGCAAAGGCGUUUUAUUCCUUCAACAUAGCUUGAUUAUCAAUGCAAUAGCUCUCCACUUAUGACAUAUUGAUCAACAUAUUCCUGAUUUGUGAAUAUAUAUAUAUAUAUAUAUAUAUAUAUAUAUUUGGUUUCUCCCACAAAGAAACAAGGUUCCUCAUGGGUACAUUCACAUUUGCUGCUUCUUUAUUGGGGGCUUUUUGUGGGAGGUCUGCAGAGUUGUGUAUGCUUGGAAUUACUAUUGGAGCAGCACUAGUUACUCAUCUAGGGUAAAUGUCAAGACCAGCAAGGAGGGGAGGUAAAAAAAUUGUAUUAUCAUUUUGUGAUGAGGCUGAGCGAGAAUACAAGUCCCUUAGUUGUGGAGCAUUCUUGGGAAUGCUUCAAGUAGUUAGACAUAACAGUAUAUGCAUGUCUAAUUAAUUAGUCAUUUUGUUUUCUUCUGCUUGAGGCUUCCUAGAAACGGAGGGAAGUCGUGGCAUCACCUUGAAGUCGCUCAGAAUGGGUAAAUUUCUAUGGCAACCGACUUCAAUUGCACAGUUUAUUAAAUCCGUGAAAAUGAAAGAAGCUAUUAUUUUGGCUGCCAAGAAGUUGCAGUGGAGACUGAUGAAGACUUUGGAAUGAAUCCCAAUAUUGUCAAAAUUAAUAUCAAGUUGUAGGCAAUUCAUUUGUAAAAUUUCUCUAAUUUUCAUGAAAAUUGAUUUAUGUAGUUUUUCCCAUGGAUUUUAGGUGAUGCAUAUUCGUAAUGUAUUUCAUAUGGAAAAACUAUAAGUUUCCUUAAUAGUGAUAGUUGGUCCUGCUCUUGAAGAUUUCCUUGCCCAAGUAUCUUAGAAAAAUUAUUUCCUUGUAAUCAUGGGUCUCAUAUUUGGGAAUGGUUCUCCUACGUGUAUGUACAUAAAUCUGAAUGGUGACUAUUUCAAUUUAUUGUUUGGUUCACAGUGUGUGUCGAGACGGAAUUCAAGGUGAAGUCCUGCCAAGGCUUUCUAUUGAAGUGGUGAAACCGGAGAUACAUUUGUUGUUGAUCUUUCUUUGGUUUUGACCAUGAACGCAAUUGGUAGAUUGGAUGAUUGAGUUGCACCACAGGGAAUGCUGGAGUAGAAGACAUAACUGUGUGGAGGUUUCUGAGAAAUUUUACUAUACAAGUCAGAGCUUCAAAGAGGUUGUCGUAUUCUGCUGCUGGCCCGGGUAUUAAUGUGAACAGAAUCCCAGACAUGGACCAGAUUAUGCAAACUUGCAAAAAGAGGGUCUUUGCUAAGUCAGUCAAGGUCAAUUCACAAAAUCUCUAACUUGGAUAUACGGAGGCACACCCAGUGGCUGGCUGAAUUCACAAAAUCUUUACCAAAUCAUACCGGGACUGGGGCGAGGCGAAGCCGAGCUUUACCAAAUCAUAUCGGGACUGGGGCGAGGCGAGGCCGAGCUUUACCAAAUCAUAUCGGGACUGGGGCGAGGCGAGGCCGAGCUUUACCAAAUCAUAUCGGGAUUGGGGCGAGGCGAGGCCGAGCUUUACCAAAUCAUAUCGGGACUGGGCGAGGCGAAGCCGAGCUUUACCAAAUAUAAAAUAUGGUUCAAAGAAAGAGGCAUUUAUGCAUUGUAUUUGUAGUUGUAGAUUGAAUUGGUGAACCAAAUUUGAGAAGCUGACCGGGCGUAGCACGGGCACAAAAUCUAGUAUAUAUAUAUAUAUAAGAGAAUUAUUAGGUUGA